RNAcentral lists this long non-coding RNA (832 nucleotides) under Dermacentor andersoni. RNAcentral's name for it is "uncharacterized LOC126526919". The record is from RNAcentral. Lineage: Eukaryota; Metazoa; Arthropoda; Arachnida; Ixodida; Ixodidae.
CAAUGAGAGCACAAGAAAACUACCAAUGCAGAUGUAUUGACAGAGGCACAUUUAAUCUGCAGUAUCAUUGAGUUGAUCAGUACAGACAGCUGAUUCGCAGCCUAACUGCAAAUACAGAACAUGCUAGUGUACGUGCAUGCAAAGCACAACACACGGAGCGUAGCGUAGAUGCAGAAGAUGCGUGUAAGUGGGGUUUCGAUGGUGUCUUGUCUGCUGCAUCGAUGAUUAGCACCUGUACUUCUGCACCAAGGUAGCAAUGCAUGAAACAUGCUGCACCGAGGGAUGGUGCCGAAAAAUUUUUAACCAACCAAGCACCUUUUGAAAUGAAUAGCAAGGAUUAGAAGACGCUAUCAAUGAAGCACUGAAAUGAAUGGUAGGGUUCAGCACCAUGUGAACUGUUUCAAACGGUGCUGGCGAAUCAAACAGCCAUAAAAUGACACACGCACAAAAACAAUGACACGGCAAAUAUGGUCAAUGAAGAACAACCAAACUCCAAGUGAAAUUCCGUUGCUAAUCACUUUUGACAACAUGAAAAGAUUCAACAAAGCACUCUUAGAAACAAUGGCACCCUGUGUUGAUGCUGAGAGGUGAUUGAGAAAGCUGUCAAUGUAGACAUCGCUAGAUACUCUUGCGGUACACAGAACAGGUGCUUAAAAGGGGCAGCGGUGCCGGUGCAGCAGAUAAACAGUGCCAUUGAUGCUGAUGCAGCACAUGCUGCUCGCACUUUUCAAUCAAGCGAUGAGGUGUAGGCCGUGUUAUUUGCUUGACUGGAUCACUCAAUGGCCUCGUGCAUAUGGCUGCUUUUUUGAAUCAGUGUGAGCUUCUUAUGCUU